This 352-nucleotide ribosomal RNA is filed under the name uncultured Comamonadaceae bacterium. RNAcentral's name for it is "bacterial SSU rRNA". It matches the Rfam family "Bacterial small subunit ribosomal RNA", at positions 30 to 380 of the family's 1533-position model. The record is from RNAcentral. Lineage: Bacteria; Pseudomonadati; Pseudomonadota; Betaproteobacteria; Burkholderiales; Comamonadaceae.
AUUGAACGCUGGCGGCAUGCCUUACACAUGCAAGUCGAACGGCAGCACGGGAGCAAUCCUGGUGGCGAGUGGCGAACGGGUGAGUAAUACAUCGGAACGUGCCCAAUCGUGGGGGAUAACGCAGCGAAAGCUGUGCUAAUACCGCAUACGAUCUACGGAUGAAAGCAGGGGAUCGCAAGACCUUGCGCGAAUGGAGCGGCCGAUGGCAGAUUAGGUAGUUGGUGAGGUAAAGGCUCACCAAGCCGUCGAUCUGUCGCUGGUCUGAUAGGACGACCAGCCACACUGGUACUGAGACACGGCCCAGACUCCUACGGGAGGCAGCUGUGGGUUAUUUUUUGGACAAUGGGCGAAC